RNAcentral lists this transfer RNA (69 nucleotides) under Histeroidea sp. 4 KM-2017. Its description in RNAcentral is "tRNA-Lys". The record is from RNAcentral. Lineage: Eukaryota; Metazoa; Arthropoda; Insecta; Coleoptera.
CAUUAGGUGACUGAAAGCAAGUAAUGGUCUCUUAAACCAUAUGAUAGUAAUUAACGACUACUCCUAAUG